This is a long non-coding RNA of Pseudomyrmex gracilis, 764 nucleotides long. RefSeq lists it as uncharacterized. NCBI's taxonomy places the organism in Eukaryota, Metazoa, Arthropoda, Insecta, Hymenoptera, Formicidae. The record is from RefSeq and is a predicted model, not a curated record. The transcript has 5 exons.
AAAACAACGAAAAAGAGAUAUACAACCUGGAAUAUAUUGGAUAACUUCGAAAUAUAAGUGCAUUUUAGAGAAAAUUGCAACAAUUAUCCCAUAUGUAUCUCAAACUAAAAAAGAAAAAUAUUUGAUUUUACCGCGUAUUCCCGCUGAAUGGGUAUUUCCUCAUUGGAAAAAUCCUGCAAUCAAGGCCGCAUUUACUAUUCAAUUUAAUCAUACUUACAAUGAAAUAGUUUUAUCACAUACGCAACAGCAGUAUUUCCAGAAUACACCGAUGUACCAGCGAAUUCCGAUUAUUAUAUACAUACUUCCUUGUUGCGUCAUACACGUCUUACUAUUCAAAUUAGAUUGCAAGUGAAAAACGACAUUUCAUACGCAAUAUUACUUAUAACAAAUUUUCUGACAUCUAUCGACGACAAGAAAGAGAAUAUCACAUCAGUCUCAUACGUGCAGUAUUUAGUACUUCCAAUAAACUCUAACAAUUACGAAACCAUAGUAACUUCUGGACUUGUAUUCUUCAGAGACGCUAAUAUUGCAUACAAUAGAGAAAUAGAUUCAAUUAUAAAGAAAACAAAAGUAACAUGCUUGGUUGUACGCGGUGUGCUACAAGAAAUGUUCAGUGAAUGGUUAGUUACAUUGAAACAAUCUGAUUCUUGGUUCCUUGAAGGUUUUUUAACAUUAUACGGAGUUUAUGUAGUGGAUCAAAUUUACGAUGAAACUUUACUGAAAUCGAUUGCGAUCCAGACACGACGAGUAGGUUUUGAAUAUAC